AUCCAGCUGACGAAUCUCAAACGGGAGGAAACGCGCGUCCUGGAU
This 45-nucleotide non-coding RNA is filed under the name Schistosoma margrebowiei. The record is from RNAcentral. Lineage: Eukaryota; Metazoa; Platyhelminthes; Trematoda; Strigeidida; Schistosomatidae.